RNAcentral lists this ribosomal RNA (773 nucleotides) under uncultured bacterium. RNAcentral describes it as "bacterial SSU rRNA". It matches the Rfam family "Bacterial small subunit ribosomal RNA", at positions 28 to 772 of the family's 1533-position model. The record is from RNAcentral.
GAUGAACGCUAGCGACAGGCCUAACACAUGCAAGUCGAGGGGCAUCGGGACGUAGCAAUACGUUGCCGGCGACCGGCGGAUGGGUGAGUAACGCGUAUGCAACCUACCCGUAGCAGGGGGAUAGCCCGUUGAAAGACGGAUUAAUACCCCGUAACACAGGGGCUCCGCAUGGAGAUUAUUGUUAAAGGGUCAUUUCUUUUUCAGGGAUGGUCCGGCUGCGGAUGGGCAUGCGUUCCAUUAGGUAGUUGGUGUAGGUAACUGCUCACCAAGCCGACGAUGGAUAGGGGAACUGAGAGGUUGGUCCCCCACACUGGUACUGAGACACGGACCAGACUCCUACGGGAGGCAGCAGUGAGGAAUCUUGGUCAAUGGACGCAAGUCUGAACCAGCCAUGUCGCGUGAAGGAGGACGGCCCUAAGGGUUGUAAACUUCUUUUGCAGUGGAAUAAAGUUUGCCACGUGUUGGCGAUUUGCAAGUACGCUGCGAAUAAGGAUCGGCUAACUCCGUGCCAGCAGCCGCGGUAAUACGGAGGAUCCGGGCGUUAUCCGGAUUUAUUGGGUUUAAAGGGUGCGCAGGCGGGGAAUUAGGUAGGCGGUGAAAUUUCGGGGCUCAACCUCGACAGUGCCGUUGAAACCGUUUCUCUUGAGUGCGGAUGAGGUAGGCGGAAUUUGUGGUGUAGCGGUGAAAUGCGUAGAUAUCACAAGGAACACCGAUUGCGGAGGCAGCUUACUAAACCGUUACUGACGCUCAUGCACGAAGGCGUGGGGAUCAAA